Molecule: ribosomal RNA, 386 nt
Filed under: uncultured prokaryote
Description: bacterial SSU rRNA
Rfam family: Archaeal small subunit ribosomal RNA
Source: RNAcentral
GCGCGAACACUUUACAAUGCUGGCAACAGCGAUAAGGGAACCUCGAGUGCCAGGUUACAAAUCUGGCUGUCGAGAUGCCUAAAAAGCAUUUCAUAGCAAGGGCCGGGCAAGACCGGUGCCAGCCGCCGCGGUAACACCGGCGGCUCGAGUGGUAACCGUUCUUAUUGGGUCUAAAGGGUCUGUAGCCGGCCGGAUAAGUCUCUUGAGGAAUCUGGCAGCUUAACUGUCAGGCUUUCAGGGGAUACUGUCUGGCUCGAGGCCGGGAGAGGUGAGAGGUACUUCAGGGGUAGGGGUGAAAUCUUGUAAUCCUUGAAGGACCACCAGUGGCGAAGGCGUCUCACCAGAACGGACCUGACGGCAAGGGACGAAAGCUAGGGGCACGAACC